RNAcentral lists this small nucleolar RNA (136 nucleotides) under Caenorhabditis remanei. Its description in RNAcentral is "Nematode snoRNA ceN105". It matches the Rfam family "Nematode snoRNA ceN105". Lineage: Eukaryota; Metazoa; Nematoda; Chromadorea; Rhabditida; Rhabditidae. The record is from Rfam by way of RNAcentral.
UAUUGUCGUGAAUCUUGUUCGAAGCGUUGAUUUUAUUCGUAUCGAAUGUAAAGGCCGACAUAGAUAGAAUUCGACUUUUAUUUAUGAAAAAUCCACAAGUUUCAAUGAUUUUUCAAAGGGAUAAAUGUCGAACACU